CCUGAUGCAGCCAUGCCGCGUGUGUGAAGAAGGCCUUCGGGUUGUAAAGCACUUUCAGUCGUGAGGAAGGCAUAUGCGUUAAUAGCGCAUGUGUUUGACGUUAGCGACAGAAGAAGCACCGGCUAACUCCGUGCCAGCAGCCGCGGUAAUACGGAGGGUGCGAGCGUUAAUCGGAAUUACUGGGCGUAAAGCGCAUGCAGGCGGCUUGUUAAGCCAGAUGUGAAAGCCCGGGGCUCAACCUCGGAAUAGCAUUUGGAACUGGCAGGCUAGAGUCUUGUAGAGGGGGGUAGAAUUUCAGGUGUAGCGGUGAAAUGCGUAGAGAUCUGAAGGAAUACCGGUGGCGAAGGCGGCCCCCUGGACAAAGACUGACGCUCAGAUGCGAAAGCGUGGGGAGCAAACAGGAUUAGAUACCCUGGUAGUCCACGCCGUAAACGAUGUCUACUUGGAGGUUGGUGUCUUGAACACUGGCUUUCGGAGCUAACGCGUUAAGUAGACCGCCUGG
This 502-nucleotide ribosomal RNA is filed under the name Photobacterium sp. 5Bf1S3. Its description in RNAcentral is "bacterial SSU rRNA". It matches the Rfam family "Bacterial small subunit ribosomal RNA", at positions 382 to 876 of the family's 1533-position model. Lineage: Bacteria; Pseudomonadati; Pseudomonadota; Gammaproteobacteria; Vibrionales; Vibrionaceae. The record is from RNAcentral.